GACGCUAAAGCUCGGCGUUUUCUGGUGGCACGGAUGUCCGUUUGUAAAGCAGCUGGGCUGGAGCCUGCAGGAUUUGCAGGCUUCUGUCUUGAAGGAAGUCUGGGAGGCUCAAUUUCCAGCGUUUUCACCUUGGAGCCAGCCUCGCCAGGGCCAAACCACCGAGUAGCCUGACUGCCAACAGCCUCAGCAGCUCAGUUUGAAGCACCAGAUGGAAAUCUUCUCUAUGAGGAUCAAGACUCAAUAUCAAAAACACAAAUGCAAGUAAAUACACAAAGAACAUUCAAAGUUAAAAAUGAAGAAGCCUCAGAACAUCCAGAUACCGCAGAAAAUCUUCCAGCAGUGAAUCCAUCAGUUAAUGACCUAAUAUUUCAAUUAGGUUUAAACAAAGUGGUAGAAAUUGAUCUAGAACACUUGAAAGAUACUGUUGGAAGACGUAUAUUAAUGGCAGAAAUGAAGAUACAACCAAAGAGUGUCCCUUACACUGAUACAGAGAGCUUUCCAGAUGCUAUUGGAAGAGGUAUAAUAAAGGAUGAAAUCAAGACACAAUCCAAGAGUCAUCCUGAGACUGAUACAGAACACAUGACAGAUACUGUUGGAAGAGAAAAAGCAAUUGAUGAACUCAAGAAACAUCAUAAGAGUCACCCUGAGACUGACACAGAACGCUUCCUAAAUGUUGUUGGAAGAAGUAUUAUGAAGGGUGAAUUCAAGACACAACCCAAGAGUCGUCUUGGGACUAAUGUAGAAGGCGUGACAGAUAAAACUAGAAGAGGUGUAAUAAAGGGACAAUUCAAGAUACAAUCAAUGAAUCUCCCUGAGACUGAUACAGAACGCAUGACAGAUACUGUUGGAAGAGAAAAAGCAAUUGAUGAACUCAAGAAACAUCAUAAGAGUCACCCUGGUAUGAAUUUAUUUAAAAACAAAAAUGCAUUCUCAUAUCAAGAAGAUUUCUACGCCAGGCACAUUGCACCAAGUAAAUAUAAAACAAAAGUGAUUAAUUUAUCACCCUUUGAUGAUGAAGGCAAGGUCAAUAGAAAGAGUCACCAUGAGGGGCAUCGAAAAAAUUUGACUGUAAACAAAAAGAAAGGUGAACUUGAUAUUCUGCCUGCUGUGAUCGCUACAACUAGAAAACCUAUCUAUAAAGCAAUGAAAUUGCAAGAGUGGAAGCCUUAUGAAAAUAACACUGCCUUGAGUGGAUGCUGCUUAUUGAACAAUAAUGAGAAAGAUCCUGAAUAAACAGGGUAGACCCAGAUCAUGGAGGUAGUAAAAAAAAAGUACAACUUACAUGGCAAGAAGAAAUCAUCAGUUGAGUGAGCAUAAAGUAUCAGUCAAGAGAAAAUAAAUGGAGGAAUUCUUCACUAAUUACUGAAACUGUGAAAGGUCCCAGAGAACUCUUCUUUACCAUGUGGAACAAAUUUGAAGCUAAGAUAAAAGCCUCUGUUGCU
Molecule: RNA transcript, 1442 nt
Organism: Mesoplodon densirostris (Blainville's beaked whale)
Lineage: Eukaryota; Metazoa; Chordata; Mammalia; Artiodactyla; Ziphiidae
Gene: CCDC7
Gene name: coiled-coil domain containing 7
Exons: 15
Source: RefSeq, a predicted model, not a curated record